RNAcentral lists this ribosomal RNA (431 nucleotides) under uncultured Alphaproteobacteria bacterium. RNAcentral's name for it is "bacterial SSU rRNA". It matches the Rfam family "Bacterial small subunit ribosomal RNA", at positions 29 to 505 of the family's 1533-position model. Lineage: Bacteria; Pseudomonadati; Pseudomonadota; Alphaproteobacteria. The record is from RNAcentral.
AACGAACGCUGGCGGCAGGCCUAACACAUGCAAGUCGAACGAAGUCUUCGGACUUAGUGGCGGACGGGUGAGUAACACGUGGGAACAUGCCCUUGGGUACGGAACAACAGUUGGAAACGACUGCUAAUACCGUAUGAUGUCUUCGGACCAAAGAUUUAUCGCCCAAGGAUUGGCCCGCGUAAGAUUAGAUAGUUGGUGGGGUAACGGCCUACCAAGUCUACGAUCUUUAGCUGGUCUUAGAGGAUGAUCAGCCACACUGGGACUGAGACACGGCCCAGACUCCUACGGGAGGCAGCAGUGGGGAAUCUUAGACAAUGGGGGCAACCCUGAUCUAGCCAUGCCGCGUGAUCGAUGACGGCCCUAGGGUUGUAAAGAUCUUUCGACGGGGACGAUAAUGACGGUACCCGUAGAAGAAGCUCCGGCUAACUUCG